AGAGACAGCAGCAGCCACGGGAAUACGUAGGUGGCGAGCGUUGUCCGGAUUUAUUGGGCGUAAAGGGAGUGUAGGCGGUCUUUUAAGUCUGAUGUGAAAGCCCACGGCUCAACCGUGGAGGGUCAUUGGAAACUGGGAGACUUGAGUGCAGAAGAGGAGAGCGGAAUUCCAUGUGUAGCGGUGAAAUGCGUAGAUAUAUGGAGGAACACCAGUGGCGAAGGCGGCUCUCUGGUCUGUAACUGACGCUGAGGCUCGAAAGCGUGGGGAGCAAACAGGAUUAGAUACCCCGGUAGUCCCUGUCUCUUAUAA
This 309-nucleotide ribosomal RNA is filed under the name uncultured bacterium. RNAcentral describes it as "partial 16S ribosomal RNA". It matches the Rfam family "Bacterial small subunit ribosomal RNA", at positions 504 to 809 of the family's 1533-position model. The record is from RNAcentral.